GCCUACCAAUUCCUGACAAACUCCGAAUGCUAUAAAAUGUUACUCAGCAGUGAGGGCAUGGGUGCUAAGGUCCAUGUCCGAGAGGGAAAGAACCCAGACCAUCAGCUAAGGUCCCCAAAUAUAUGUUAAGUUGAAUAAACGAGGUGAAAUUGCACAGACAGCUAGGAUGUUGGCUUGGAAGCAGCCAUUCAUUUAAAGAGUGCGUAACAGCUCACUAGUCGAGCGAUUUUGCAUGGAUAAUAAUCGGGCAUAAACAUAUUACCGAAGCUAUGGAUUUGUAUUAUAUACAAGUGGUAGGGGAGCAUUGUAACCUGCGUAGAAGGUGUGCUGUAAGGCAUGCUGGAGUGGUUACAAAAGAAAAUGUAGGCAUAAGUAACGAUAAAGGGGGCGAGAAACCCCCUCACCGAAAGACUAAGG
This 417-nucleotide ribosomal RNA is filed under the name Odontella aurita. RNAcentral describes it as "partial Bacterial large subunit ribosomal RNA". It matches the Rfam family "Bacterial large subunit ribosomal RNA", at positions 934 to 1350 of the family's 2925-position model. Lineage: Eukaryota; Bacillariophyta; Thalassiosirophyceae; Eupodiscales; Odontellaceae. The record is from RNAcentral.